AUUGAACGCUGGCGGCAUGCUUUACACAUGCAAGUCGAACGGUAACAGGGAGCUUGCUCCGCUGACGAGUGGCGAACGGGUGAGUAAUAUAUCGGAACGUACCCAAGAGUGGGGGAUAACGUAGCGAAAGUUACGCUAAUACCGCAUACGAUCUAAGGAUGAAAGCAGGUGACCUUCGGGCCUUGUGCUCCUGGAGCGGCCGAUAUCUGAUUAGCUAGUUGGUGAGGUAAAGGCUCACCAAGGCGACGAUCAGUAGCUGGUCUGAGAGGACGACCAGCCACACUGGAACUGAGACACGGUCCAGACUCCUAGGGGAGGCAGCAGUGGGGAAUUUUGGACAAUGGGCGCAAGCCUGAUCCAGCAAUGCCGCGUGAGUGAAGAAGGCCUUCGGGUUGUAAAGCUCUUUUGUCAGGGAAGAAACGGGAUUGGCUAAUAUCCAGUCCUAAUGACGGUACCUGAAGAAUAAGCACCGGCUAACUACGUG
RNAcentral lists this ribosomal RNA (484 nucleotides) under uncultured bacterium. RNAcentral describes it as "partial 16S ribosomal RNA". It matches the Rfam family "Bacterial small subunit ribosomal RNA", at positions 30 to 507 of the family's 1533-position model. The record is from RNAcentral.